RNAcentral lists this ribosomal RNA (629 nucleotides) under uncultured bacterium. RNAcentral describes it as "bacterial SSU rRNA". It matches the Rfam family "Bacterial small subunit ribosomal RNA", at positions 9 to 650 of the family's 1533-position model. The record is from RNAcentral.
GAGUUUGAUCCUGGCUCAGAAUCAACGCUGGCGGCGUGCCUCAGACAUGCAAGUCGAACGAUUAAACUUUCCUUCGGGAAAGAUAUAAAGUGGCGCACGGGUGAGUAACACGUAGGUAAUCUACCUUUGAGUGGGGAAUAACAAUCGGAAACGAUUGCUAAUACCGCAUAAUGCAGCGGCAUCGUAAGAUGACAGUUGUUAAAGGAGCAAUCCGCUUAAAGAGGAGCCUGCGGCAGAUUAGCUAGUUGGUAAGGUAAUGGCUUACCAAGGCUACGAUCUGUAACCGACCUGAGAGGGUGGUCGGUCACACUGACACUGAAUAACGGGUCAGACUCCUACGGGAGGCAGCAGUCGGGAAUUUUGGGCAAUGGGCGAAAGCCUGACCCAGCAACGCCGCGUGAAGGAUGAAGUAUUUCGGUAUGUAAACUUCGAAAGAAUAGGAAGAAUAAAUGACGGUACUAUUUAUAAGGUCCGGCUAACUACGUGCCAGCAGCCGCGGUAAUACGUAGGGACCAAGCGUUGUUCGGAUUUACUGGGCGUAAAGGGCGCGUAGGCGGCAGUUCAAGUCAGUUGUGAAAUCUCCGAGCUUAACUCGGAACGGUCAACUGAUACUGUUUUGCUAGAGUGCA